CUUUCUGAAAAAAAAAAAAGAAAAAAAAAAAAAGAAGUUACAUGUAGAAUUCUUAACUCAGUACUUGGCUUAUUGUGUGUGUGUGUGUGUGUGUGUGUGUGUGUGUGUGUGUGUGUGUGUGUAUGUGUUGUUAGCCCAAUAGCUAAAAGGAAAGUAUCACUUUUAUUGGGCGAGUAGCUAUGAAAGCUAAGCCUUAAUGGUGUCUAAGCUAAGAAGCAAAGCUAACAGAAACAAAAGGAAUGGGGUGGGAGGAAAACCAGAAAAGAAAUGGAGGGAAAAUGCACAUAUCUAUUAAAGCAAUGAGAAGCAGCAAGCUAAUAAUAUAAGUAUUAAUGGUGGUGGUGGUGAUGAUUUCUACAUGUAUUGCUCUGUUCCAGGGUCUAAUUUAAGCAUUUUCCAUAGAUAAGCCAUUUUACCUUCACAGGUACUUUGGGGGUCAUGUGGCUACACUGUCCAUUGCCUCCCCAAAUAGUACUCUCCUCUUACUAACAUGACUCUGCCACUGUUCAGUUUGCAAUACACCCAAUGUACCACUCAGUGUUGGACUGAGAAUACCCUGAUAACCUUACUCCUCUCUGCUGGACACUUGUUUCCUAGCCUUCCCAGUGGCCAGCAAUGACCAUGUGACUUGAAUUCUGGCCAGUGAGAUGCAAGGGGAAGUAUGCUGGGAAGCAGGGACUCUGGGAAAACAUUUGCAUCUUCAGGAUCAGACAUGAGAGGAGAGCUUGUUGGUUCUCCCUUUUUCUUCCUGACUGUGGGCCAUCUGGUGAAGAGCCAGAAGGCACAUCUGAAAGACAGACCUGGGAUCUUUGAUGACAGCAUUAAGCUGUAGAAGAACCUUGAGAUUGUUGCCUCUGACUUCUUUUUGAGAAUAAUAAAUGUACUUAUAAUAUAAAUGACUGUUACUGUGCUUACUCUAGAUUGCAGUUGCAAGCAUUCCUAUUUGAUACCGGAAGGUGCUGUUGUCAUCUUUGUGUAUUUAUUUCUCCAUUGUUUACAGAUAAGGAAACUGAGGAAUGGAGAGACGAAAUGUCUUGUCCAUGGUCAUCACAGCUGCUACCACGGAAGCCCUAGUCUGGCAGGAAAGAAGAGUCAUUAGGCAUCAUCUGGCAACUUGGCUUGGAGAAGUCAGAUCAGUCACCAAGAGUCUGGUGGGGCUGCAGCAAUGGCUAGAAAGAACCAGUGACAUGAUUGCCAGCCCAGCUUGAGCUCUGCUUCAGAUAAUUUAAGAUGUACCAGGUGGCACUUCAGGCUAGAAAACUCUGUGGUCUCCCAGCAACUUAAAGGA
This 1288-nucleotide long non-coding RNA is filed under the name Homo sapiens (human). RNAcentral's name for it is "HSALNT0348347". The record is from RNAcentral. Lineage: Eukaryota; Metazoa; Chordata; Mammalia; Primates; Hominidae.